This 407-nucleotide ribosomal RNA is filed under the name uncultured prokaryote. RNAcentral's name for it is "bacterial SSU rRNA". It matches the Rfam family "Bacterial small subunit ribosomal RNA", at positions 355 to 776 of the family's 1533-position model. RNAcentral also lists the same sequence under 1 other name. The record is from RNAcentral.
UGGGGAAUAUUGCGCAAUGGGGGGAACCCUGACGCAGCAACGCCGCGUGAGUGAAGAAGGUCUUCGGAUCGUAAAACUCUGUCAUAGGGGAAGAAGGAAGUGACGGUACCCUAUGAGGAAGCCCCGGCUAACUACGUGCCAGCAGCCGCGGUAAUACGUAGGGGGCAAGCGUUGUCCGGAAUUACUGGGCGUAAAGGGUGCGUAGGCGGCCGAUUAAGUCAGAUGUGAAAUACCAGGGCUCAACCUUGGGGGUGCAUAUGAAACUGAUUGGCUUGAGUGCAGGAGAGGAAAGUGGAAUUCCUAGUGUAGCGGUGAAAUGCGUAGAGAUUAGGAGGAACACCAGUGGCGAAGGCGACUUUCUGGACUGUAACUGACGCUGAGGCACGAAAGCGUGGGGAGCAAACAGG